This 170-nucleotide unclassified non-coding RNA is filed under the name soil metagenome. RNAcentral describes it as "partial internal transcribed spacer 1". The record is from RNAcentral.
CCCUUUCAAUGCAGCAGAAUUGGGAUGGGUUGAGUAUCUCGCCUCUCCGUUCUGCCUGUAUUCUACCCUUGUUUGUCAUAUACUAUUAUUUCCUCGGCAGGCUUGCCUGCCGAGUGAAACCAUUUAUAACCUUUUUAAUUUUCAAUCAGCGUCUGAAAAAUUAAUAAUUA